GCUCCUUCCCCGCCGCCCUCCGGCUCGGGCGCCGGCCGGCCGGGACCCGCGGGGAGGAAGGCCGGGGCGGGCGGGGGAGGCCUGUGCGCCCCCGGGUUGGGAGACGGAGGCUGAGCGGAGGCGGGUCCCCCGGUGCCGCAGUGUCAGCCCGGCCCGGGCCCCGGACGGCAGGAAAAACCGCGGCUUCCCCACUCGCCCGGGCUCUCGCUCAGGCCGCGCUUUGUUUGGUUGCGGGGGCUCGGCACCCUCUACCCCCACCCAUCCUUUGGCUCCUUCGCUGGCUCACGGACCCCGCAGGAGUCUGUUGGUGGCUGGGGUGGGGGGAGGCAAAAUGUGGGAUUUCCCCCUUUUCUGCUGCCUUCCACGGUUUAGCCUCCCCCUUCCUAACAGAAGGUGUGGGGGGGGGGGGGGACAACUGGGAGUGAUCGGGCGGUGGGGCUGGCUGGGGAACUUGUUUUCCCCCUUUUCUCUGUUAGCCUCCCCCUUCCUGUGGAGGAGGGGGAAGGGGGGGAAUCCGAGUGGUCUGUGGUGUUGGCCGGGGAACUUGUUUCCCCCACCCCCCUCCCUAGUCACGGGGUAGGGGGAGCAGCGACUACUCUCCCAACCCCAUAAUGUUUGCUGCGCAGUUUGGCUUUAGUUACAGAACCCCUGGGAAGGACCCGUUAAAUCAAGACCUUUAAAUAAAUAAAUAUAGAAUCCAUCGGCCAUUUCCAGUCCCCUCCCUCGCGUCAGUGCAGUUACCCUUCGGUUCUAUCGACCACCCCUCUCGCCUGUCCUCCCCUAGCAAACCCCUACGCCUCCGUGCUACCCUCCGUCUCCUAGUGGGGUUUGAACGCCCCUUCCUUGGAACUGGCCCCUUGGGAGAGUGUGAGUGUGUGUGCUGUGUCCAAGGCCUAGUGAAAUGUGUCAUUUGGACCCAACUGUGCAGCUCUGUCUGGUAACCACCAUUGUCUAAGGGCUGAAGCUCCCGGGGGUUGGAUUCUUGCUUUAGCAAAAAUAAUGUUCAGUUCUACUUUGAUGAUGUGGUUAUUUUGGGAGAUAUAUGAGGUAGGAUGUGGCACCUUGGUCUCCAAACGUAACUAUUCUCUUUAUUAAUUAGCUGCUCUCAGUGGGAGUGGAGGUCAGUACCAUAUUUAUGUGUACGGUUGUUGUUUUAAGGAGGAGGGGAAUUGUUAGGAGACAUUUUGCGUGUUUUCGUUGGCGGAUUAAGGUUAAUUUUACAUGCGUUGGUUGUCACACCUCCUUUGAUUAAGCGAAUUGAGAUUAAAUGCCUUUUAAAAAUUAUACAUCCCUUCCUUAAAAACUGUUUCAAUGUUGUACUUAGCUAAAAUACUUAAAAAGAGAGAUGAGAAUCUUUUGAAAAAUAGUUCAAAGGGUUUUCACUAGUCUCUGUUACAGAUGGUCCUUGAGAAAGCAGUUUGCUAUAUGUUGCUUGAAAGAAUGUGAUGUUUCAAGCCAGUUAGAGGUGUUGUGCAACAGUAUUGGUAAAUAUGUUUUGAUGAUUCUCGGAUACAUUUACCAUGUUUUUGUAAAUUAAAAAUAUUUGUAGUUUCAUCAUUUCCUUUCACAUUUGCAUAGCAGGGUUUUCCUGUGUUCCAUUCAAAUAAUAGUCAAGUCCCCUUCCACCAUAUACUGUAGAGUUCACAGUCCUUUUUGAGAAAACAAUGAUACUAGAUUGAAAUCCUAGCAUAGGAAGGAUUUAAUUGCUGGAAGUGUUUUUAAGAUGUACUGAUUUGUUCAUACCAUUAGGGCUGAAUCAAAUCUGUUUGGCCAAACUUAAUUUAGUCCCAUUGUGUAUUUUAAAAUAUUUAUUCUGAAUCUCCUUUUCAUGAUGUGUGUAAUUUCAAACUUAGUUGAGGUACUUUUAUCUUGGGUACUUUUCUUAACAUUUGUUUGAAUUAUUAGCCACUAAAGUCUAUUUCCUUUUGAAGUAAAAUUACUUGGUGGUUGGCAUUAGCAUACUAGAGUGUCAGUUUCCUUUUCAUUCAUGUCCAUAAGCUGACUAACAAAAAGAUGUUCAAGAAAUCAAAAUUUCAGUAUACACCUAACCAAAUAGUAAAUCAAAUGCACUGUAGGAUUGUUGCUUUGCUGCAGCUAGUAGAAACUGUUCUGGUAAUUCCAUGUUGACACAGAGGGGAAAAGAACUUGCUGAUUAGCCUUCAGGGAAAAUUCUGUGGGUCUUUUAGAGGGCAGAUAAAUGGCUUUAAAAUGAAUAAAACAUUAAGAUAACUUAAAAGAGUAAAAUAGUAAAGAUUUUGCCAGUUUUAAGUAAAAUAUGUCUUUCUACAAAAAUUGGCGAUUUGAUUGCUUUUUAAAAACGUACAGUUCACACGAUGAGAAGUUAGUCAAAGGAAUAACCUCUCUUUUAAAAGUUUUAUGGAGCAUGGGAAGUGUCACUAUUUUUGGUCUGGAUAGAAGAGGUUUUGUUGUUUAAGAAUAUAGUGGGUAUCAUAAUUUUGACAAGGUAAUUAAGGAACUACAGCCAACAUGUAUGUGUGUGUUGUACUUUUUACUAACUCUUAAUGGGUAUGUAGCUCUUGAAUUAGAGUUUGGAUAGAGUUACAUAAUAGUGGAUCAGACAGCUUUCCAGGUCAGAAAUUAAAGUCAGACUCACUGUUUUUAAGACAAGUUAUUCAUUCAAUAUAAAAAAUUACUUAUUUCACAUAAAAGGAUGGACUUUGGCUUUUUAGUGGUAAUAGUAUAGUUACAAUGUAGUUUUUUUUUUUUUUUUCAAGCAAAAAUUUUGUCAGGGUUGGAUUUUUGUUGCUCCUUUACCCACAAGAUAAUUGGUCUAAAAACUUCCUUGAUACAUCCUUUCACACACACACACACACACACACACACACACACACACACACACACACUUUCUCUUAUAUGCCAUGGCCAGUGUUUGAAGAGGAAAAAAACAGUCUAAUACAGUGAAUUCUUAUGAGGACUUUUCAAAACCUUCCAUUGGGGACAAUUACUUAUACCCACAUUGGGAAAUAUUUGGCCUGAGUGUUUAAUGGAAUGCUGUCUUCACUCAUGUUAUCUGUAAUGGCCCACUGUCUUAACAUGGAAUACUAAUCAUUAGCUGGUUUUGGUCUUUUAGUUUAAGUUCCAGAGUUUAAGAUUUCACAUACUACUUUAAAUUAGUAGAAAAUAAUUGGUGUUCCACAUAGGGACACUUUGAUGAUAUAUUCCAGAUUCAGUGAAUCUGGAAGUAGUGUGGGGUAGAUUUUUUUAUAUUUAUUUUCUUUUGAAAUCCUGAAAGGAUUUAGCUUUUGCAGCUUGUUGUGAUUUAUGUUAAUAUCUUUUUGAUAGUCUUUUUCUAAAAGUAUGAGGUAAGGUUACAAGUCUGCAGAAGUGCUAUGUAUUCCGAGCAUUUUUAGUUUAUAGUUAAAAUUGGUUACUUAAAAUAGGUAAUAAAUACAAAUGAUUUAAAAUUCAGAAGUUUUUUGUCUACACCUGCCUUCAGCAACCAAAUUCUCCUGCUUGGAAUCAAUCACUAUUAUUAGUUUCUCAUUUAUUGUGUUUUAAUAAAAACAUAAAAAAUGAAACUUGACAACUGAAAGUCUUGAUAUCAAAGUUUUUGAAAAUAGGUGUAAUUUUUUCUGGUUGGAGAAUUCAUAAGAUUCUUUUGAAGUGCUGAAAUUUUAAUUAUAUAAUCAUUGAUAGUUCAAGAGAUUUAAUACAAUAUAUUAAUGGUAUUGCUAUUAAUUUCUAGUCUGAAGUAAUUGUAGAGAGUAAAAACAUAGUCUUUUUAGUUCCAUAUUUGUGGGAUAAAAAUCUCACCGAUGACCCUGGAAUUAGAGUUUUGUUUUAACUAAACAUGUUGAAAUAAUGCAGUACAUACAGUAUAUGUGAAAUAUUCCUAAUGGAGCUACAUAUUAUAAUAUGCAGCAGCCAGGAAACUCCUUAGUGUUCUAGUCAUGCAUGCUAAUCAUACCUUCUGUGGGCUUGUUCUAGCUCAUGAUAUUUUACCUUCAGGUUCUUCAGAAUAAGGAACUUACAGAAUGCAAGAAUAAGGAACUUCUGCAACCUUUUUUGACAGAAGAGUUCUGGGCAAAGGACAUGAUUUUUCCAGUCUUAGGAAUUAAGUACUGUGGGCCACUACUCUCCCAUCUGGUGGCCAAACCUUCAAAAUAUUUACAUCCAUGAAAGGAGAAAUGCCACCCAGUUUUUUGUGGGAGUAGGGUGGGGUGGAAAAGAGCCUGUUUUCUCAAAGCUUAACAAGUUAUUUGAGGGAUAGAAAUGAGAUAGUGGGGUGCCUGGGUGGCUCAGUCAGUUAAGGUAUGACUCUCGAUUUCUGUUCAGGUCAUGAUCUCACAGUUCAUGAGAUUGAGCCCUGCAUCAGGCUCUGUGCUGACAGCAUGGAGCCUGUUUAGGAUUCUCCCUCUCCUUCUCUUUCUCCUCAUCCUCCACAUCCUUCACUCUUGCUCUCUUGCUGUCUCUCUCAAAAUAGAUAAACAUACAUUUUCAGAGAAAACAUGAGAUAGUGUGACAAUGCUGAUGUGAAAGUUCUGCUGAUUAGGCCUAUGGGUUGUCCCUAUACUGCUUUUCUCUUUCUUUACUGGAAAUUCUGGCAAACCCAAGGACAGGCCAACCAGCUUGGAAACCUACCAGAUUUGUCUCUGGAAGAGAUUGCACUGAUUGGCCAGCAUGUUUUUCCAGCUUGUUGAGAUCACUAAGUGCUCAUUGUGUAAAGAGGGGUAGAUUUCUCUUGAAUUACUCAUAAGUUAUGAAUAAAAGGUGUUAAGUCAUUUUAGCUCAUGGUUAUAGACUAGCCUAUUUCAGGAAGGAAAAAUGUGAGUUAAAUUACACUUCAGUGGUAAUUUUGACAGGUUUGUGGACUAAAUAUCCUUUUGUCACCAUAGCUUUAUGUCUUUGCAUGUAUAGCCUGGGGUUUUUAUAUGUUUGGUUAACACAGAAAUGUGCUUAAACUUAAUCCUUAGAAAAUAGAGAAAUGAAACCAAUUAACUUCCCUUGUAUAAUUUAUUUUAGUUUAAGGAAAUAUCAAAAAUAUGUACUUUGAAAAUGAAUACAUUGUGUAUUUUUUGUUUUAAAACAUCCAAAUUAAUAUAGUAUAUUAAAGCAAAUGUAAGUUGCUUAUUGUCCCCAAUUUCUAAAGAUCCAAUUGUCAGUGUUUAGUCCUUCUAACAAAUGAAAAAUUGUGUGUGUUCAAAAGAGGAGAAAAAAUUAUUAAAUGCUGUUCCCUCAACUGGUGAAUAAACCUUAAAAAACAUAAUGGAAUAUUUCCACAUCUCAUGAAGGAAGAGGUACAAAGAGAGCCUACUUUUCUGUUUUCUCAAAGCUUUGAAAUUGAGUGAUAGAAAUGGAAUAAUAACCUGUGCUUUAAAAUUUUUUUUCUGGUAACAGUGAAAAUCUUUACUGAUUUCUUCUAGUGUGCAGCAUGCACUCAUUUUCUAGAUGUUCAGGUUGGGUUGUGUCAAAAUCUUUGACUACUAAAAAUUUUUCCUCAGAAUGGAAUUAACUGGCUCCUAUAGGGGUUCAGUCUUUGACAUUGAUUUCUUUAGUACCAUGUAUUGAUAACUGACUUGAAUCAGUUUAGCCUCUGCUGGUUUGCUGCCUUUACUUGAGUUUAAUGAGAAUUCUUUUUUACACUGAAAUAUUGAUUUUGUAUCUUGCAUCCAUAGUCUAUAACAUAGUAUGUAUAAGACCAUGUGGCUUUAUGAGAAUCUGACACUUAAGAGGAAGCAGGUGGGGAAGAGAAAGAACAUACAGCUCUUUUUUAUUCACCUGUUAUAUUUUGAGUUGGACAGGGUUGGUAUAUAUAUGUCACUAGUAAUUGUUUCUUCCCAUAUAAUCAUACAUA
This is a long non-coding RNA of Felis catus (domestic cat), 5815 nucleotides long. RefSeq lists it as uncharacterized. The transcript is spliced from 2 exons. NCBI's taxonomy places the organism in Eukaryota, Metazoa, Chordata, Mammalia, Carnivora, Felidae. The record is from RefSeq and is a predicted model, not a curated record.